This 257-nucleotide ribosomal RNA is filed under the name uncultured bacterium. RNAcentral describes it as "partial 16S ribosomal RNA". It matches the Rfam family "Bacterial small subunit ribosomal RNA", at positions 524 to 777 of the family's 1533-position model. The record is from RNAcentral.
UACGUAGGCAGCGAGCGUUGUUCGGAGUUACUGGGCGUAAAGGGUGUGUAGGCGGUUCCCUAAGUUUGGUGUGAAAUCUCCCGGCUCAACCGGGAGGGUGCGCCGAAAACUGGGGGGACUAGAGUGCGGGAUGGGGAGAGUAGAAUUCCUGGUGUAGCGGUGAAAUGCGUAGAUAUCAGGAGGAAUACCGGUGGUGUAGACGGCUCUCUGGACCGCCACUGACGCUGAGACGCGAAAAGCGUGAGGAGCAAACAGGG